This 357-nucleotide ribosomal RNA is filed under the name Triticum aestivum (bread wheat). RNAcentral describes it as "partial small subunit ribosomal RNA". Lineage: Eukaryota; Viridiplantae; Streptophyta; Magnoliopsida; Poales; Poaceae. The record is from RNAcentral.
GGCGACCACCAUAUCUCUCUUCUCCCUCGCCCCGUUACGCCUCACCCACCGCCGCUUCCUCUCCCCGCCCCCCGGCACGGCCUCACGCUUCCAGUCUCUCGCCUCGAAGGAGGCGGACGCCUCAAUCGUCUCCGGGGCCGGUGGGGCGCGGGGAGCGAGCUGCUCUCGGUGCUCGACCUGGCGCUCACCGUCGAGGAUCACUACUGCCGCCAGCGCGCCCAGGAGCAGCGGAAGGGCAUGGAGGCGGAGGGGUCCGGCAUAGAGGGCAUCUCGGUGGGCGGGCACGAGGCAUGCGUCACUGCGCCGUCCCCAUACUGCGGCAGUGGUCUAUUCAGCAACGAUCUGUACACUGCCUGA